This 484-nucleotide ribosomal RNA is filed under the name uncultured bacterium. Its description in RNAcentral is "bacterial SSU rRNA". It matches the Rfam family "Bacterial small subunit ribosomal RNA", at positions 30 to 507 of the family's 1533-position model. The record is from RNAcentral.
AUUGAACGCUGGCGGCAUGCCUUACACAUGCAAGUCGAACGGCAGCACGGGGGCAACCCUGGUGGCGAGUGGCGAACGGGUGAGUAACGCAUCGGAACGUGCCCAGUAGUGGGGGAUAACCAGUCGAAAGACUGGCUAAUACCGCAUACGCCCUACGGGGGAAAGCAGGGGACCUUCGGGCCUUGCGCGAUUGGAUAUGCCCAGGUGGGAUUAGCUUGUUGGUGAGGUAAUGGCUCUCCAAGGCGACGAUCCCUAGCUGGUCUGAGAGGAUGAUCAGCCACACUGGAACUGAGACACGGUCCAGACUCCUACGGGAGGCAGCAGUGGGGAAUAUUGCACAAUGGGGGAAACCCUGAUGCAGCCAUGCCGCGUGUGUGAAGAAGGCCUUCGGGUUGUAAAGCACUUUCAGCGAGGAGGAAAGGUUGAUGCCUAAUACGCAUCAGCUGUGACGUUACUCGCAGAAGAAGCACCGGCUAACUCCGUG